GAUGAGGAACGCAGCGAAAUGCGAUAAGUAAUGUGAAUUGCAGAAUUCAGUGAAUCAUCGAAUCUUUGAACGCACAUUGCGCCCGUCAGUAUUCUGGCGGGCAUGCCUGUUCGAGCGUCAUUACGCCCCUCAAGUCCCCUGUGGACUUGGUGUUGGGGAUCGGCGAGGCUGGUUUUCCAGCACAGCCGUCCCUUAAAUUAAUUGGCGGUCUCGCCGUGGCCCUCCUCUGCGCAGUAGUAAAACACUCGCAACAGGAGCCCGGCGCGGUCCACUGCCGUAAAACCCCCCAACUUUUUAUAGUUGACCUCGAAUCAGGUAGGACUACCCGCUGAACUUAAGCAUAUCAAUAAGCGGAAGA
Molecule: unclassified non-coding RNA, 358 nt
Filed under: soil metagenome
Description: partial contains 5.8S ribosomal RNA, internal transcribed spacer 2, and large subunit ribosomal RNA
Rfam family: 5.8S ribosomal RNA (bases 1-120)
Source: RNAcentral